GACGAACCGUGCGAACGUUGUUCGGAUUCACUGGGCUUAAAGGGCGCGUAGGCGGCUUGCCGAGUCAGGGGUGAAAUCUUUCGGCUCAACCGGAAAACAGCUUCUGAUACUGGCAGGCUUGAGGGAGGUAGGGGCGGAUGGAACUUCCGGUGGAGCGGUGAAAUGCGUAGAUAUCGGAAGGAACGCCGGUGGCGAAAGCGAUCCGCUGGACCUCCUCUGACGCUGAGGCGCGAAAGCCAGGGGAGCAAACGGG
This 253-nucleotide ribosomal RNA is filed under the name uncultured bacterium. Its description in RNAcentral is "partial 16S ribosomal RNA". It matches the Rfam family "Bacterial small subunit ribosomal RNA", at positions 524 to 776 of the family's 1533-position model. The record is from RNAcentral.